Molecule: ribosomal RNA, 491 nt
Filed under: Cryptococcus sp. HHTG-2015c
Lineage: Eukaryota; Fungi; Basidiomycota; Tremellomycetes; Tremellales; Cryptococcaceae
Description: eukaryotic LSU rRNA
Rfam family: 5.8S ribosomal RNA (bases 140-284)
Source: RNAcentral
GGGCAUGUAGCGGAGGACAUAUCAUAAGCGGAGGAGCAUAUCAAUAAGCGGAGGAGCAUAUCAAUAAGCGGAGGAGCAUAUCAAUAAGCGGAGGAGCAUAUCAAUAAGCGGAGGAACAUAUCAAUAAGCGGAGGAACAUAUCAAUAAGCGGAGGAACAUAUCAAUAAGCGGAAGAACCUAUCAGUAAACGGGAGGAGCAUAUCAUAAAACGCAGGAACUCAUCAAUUCUUUGAACACCCCUUGCGCCCUCUGGUAUUCCUGAGGGCAUGCCUGUUUGAGUGUCAUGUACACUCAAUCCCUCGGGUUUCCGAGGAAAUUGGACUUGGGUGUUGCCGCUCUGCCGGCUCGCCUUAAAAGACUUAACGGGAUAGCACCGUAGUCGGCGUAAUAAGUUUCGUCGGUGAAGGUUGUGAUGACUGCUUACAAUCGCCCUCGGGCAAUUUUUGACUCUGACCUCAAAUCAGGUAGGACUACCCGCUGAACUUAAGCAU